UUUAAAAGCACUUUGAAAAGAGAGUGAAAAGAACCUGAAACCGCUAGGGGGGAAGCGAAUUGCGUUGAAAUGGGAGGAAAGUGUCGAUCAGUGGGUGAUUCCGCGUACUCUGCACUCUACUCUGCCGUCAUGGGUUUGUUUCGCGGUGGAAUUUGCACCGCUGCAGACUGAGGGGUCCCUUUUAUUAGGUGACGAUGAUGGUAUUUGACACGAUUCGACCCGUCUUGAAACACGGACCAAGGAGUCUAGCGUAGCUGCGAGUCAAAGGGUGUUUUAAACCUGAGGGCGUAGUGAAAGCAAAUUUCUUUAUGUACAAAAUGGUGCAAUUUGUGGCGGCAUACGAUUCUUUGAUCGUAAGUCCGACCUAGAGCAGUUAUGCUAGGACCCGAAAGAUGGUGAACUAUGCUUGAGUAGGGCGAAGCCAGAGGAAACUCUGGUGGAGGCUCGUAGCGGUGCUGACGUGCAAAUCGCUCGUCAAACUUGGGUAUAGGGGCGAAAGACUAAUCGAACCAUCUAGUAGCUGGUUCCUCCGAAGUUUCUCUA
This 543-nucleotide ribosomal RNA is filed under the name Hemineura sp. 1TAS. Its description in RNAcentral is "eukaryotic LSU rRNA". It matches the Rfam family "Eukaryotic large subunit ribosomal RNA", at positions 364 to 974 of the family's 3401-position model. The record is from RNAcentral. Lineage: Eukaryota; Rhodophyta; Florideophyceae; Ceramiales; Delesseriaceae.